RNAcentral lists this non-coding RNA (155 nucleotides) under Rhizobium leguminosarum. Its description in RNAcentral is "FMN sequence". It matches the Rfam family "FMN riboswitch aptamer (RFN element)". Rfam says of the family: The RFN element is a highly conserved domain that is found frequently in the 5'-untranslated regions of prokaryotic mRNAs that encode for flavin mononucleotide (FMN) biosynthesis and transport proteins. The record is from RNAcentral. Lineage: Bacteria; Pseudomonadati; Pseudomonadota; Alphaproteobacteria; Hyphomicrobiales; Rhizobiaceae. RNAcentral also lists the same sequence under 1 other name.
UUCUGUUCUCAGGGCGGGGUGAAACUCCCCACCGGCGGUAAGAGUUUCGGCUCGAGCCCGCGAGCGCCUUCCCUCGUGUCCAAGCGGGGGAAGGGUCAACAGAUCCGGUGCGAUUCCGGAGCCGACGGUUAAAGUCCGGAUGGAAGAGAAUGAGU